GCUGGGCAUGGUGGUGCAUGCCUGUAAUCCCAACUACUCAGGAGGCUGAGACAGGAGAAUCACUUGAACCCAGGAGACAGAGGUUGCAGUGAGCCGAGACUGCACCACUGCACUCCAGCCUGGGUGACAGAGUAACACUCUGUCUCAA
Molecule: non-coding RNA, 148 nt
Filed under: Nomascus leucogenys (northern white-cheeked gibbon)
Lineage: Eukaryota; Metazoa; Chordata; Mammalia; Primates; Hylobatidae
Source: Rfam by way of RNAcentral